This 1651-nucleotide long non-coding RNA is filed under the name Bemisia tabaci. Its description in RNAcentral is "lncRNA ENSSSA1NGG008260". The record is from RNAcentral. Lineage: Eukaryota; Metazoa; Arthropoda; Insecta; Hemiptera; Aleyrodidae.
UGCGUAGAAUUAAUGAAGGAAUACCAGGAGCAGUUGAGGAGUAAAUUCUAUUGUUCCCCAGAAUGAUGAUAACUGAAUACUGCAAAGAGUUUGAGCCUCCAGUUUGUCCACCGAGCCCAAUGUAUGGUCUAGAUCCAGGAAAUCUCAAUCCAUUGAAAAAACCCUUUUACCACAACCUUCGAAAUUUUAUCACUGAUGUUCCAAUUGUCCCACCAACUAUUCCAAUGGAGAUUUGGGGUCAAAUUCUGAUGAGGAUGAUGCAUGCACUUGCUUGAAUGAAAAUAUGUCUACUGUUAGUCAGGAUCAGAAUUUGCCGUUAGCUGGCUUUGAUUAUGAAGCUCAUCAUGAGACGUCCCCUUGUGAGCUAUGCCAGCAUGCAAUGUUCUUUGUAGGACCUCUGAUGAAGAAUCCAAACACAACAUUCGAGCAAGUGAACAAUGCUCUAACUAAUUCAUGCAAAAUUUCAAAGGAGAGAGAUGGAACAAGUAAGCUUUAAUUUUUUGUCGCAUUUAUCAUUUCUUCGCCCUUGAAAGAGAAAGAAACCAAACCUACAGCUAUUGAAUUUAAAAAAUCCAACAAUGUCAUCAUAGCAAUUAAUGAUUACGGAUUUCAACAAGCAAUGUAUAGAUUCUCAAGUUAGACUCAGGCUGAACUGAUUCAAUUUAAGAGAGGCUAACCGUUUGCAUAAUUCUAAUUAUACAUCCAAAUAAGUAUUUAAAGCAUGAGAAAAACUCAUGCCCAGCCAAAGUAUGUUGCAACGGUUUGUAAUACAAUUGUCAGAUGCUUUUAUUUUUGUGCUGUAAGAAACUUAAAUGAUUAAUCCAUUUGUUCUUAUUCUAAUAUUUAAUUGAAUGCUCCCUUGCAGUGUCAGAAAUUGAUCGACGAAAAUAGGUAUUACAUGGAAGCUAAACUUUUCAGUACGCCGAGAACUCCGUUUUAUGAAGUGUGUUAUGUCAUGACAGACCCCCUUUGCUCUGGUGCUUACAUGAACAAACGUUUAAGGAACAUACUUAUGGACUUAUUUUUAGCCGAAUUCCCGAAAAAUUUCCAAGGCAAUGCAGAAGCAUUCGAAUUUGCACGUGAAGUAUCAGAACUUGUGGCAACAGUUUUAUUCUUCAGGGAGGAUUUGUACUCCAACAUUGGAAACUCUAGUUUUGCAGAAGCUUCAACGACAGAAGGAACAACCAUUGAUUAUGAUUACAAUGAUGAUAAUAAAACUUCCAGCACUUCAGAACCAGGAGAUGAAAAAGAUGGGACGUUGUGUGAAAUUUGCAAUGAAGUUGUUCAAAGAGUCAAGCCUUACAUACAAAUUCCAAUUUUACAACGAUUCCUACGUUCAGAAAUUGAUAAGUCCUGCUAUCAUGUCCAACCUCUUCUCUUUUCAAAGUGUUUACAAUUUGUCGCAAACUAUGGCAACAUGCUUCAUGAAACUGCAUUGUACGACAUAAGCAGAUAUGUGGAUGACAUUUGUACCUUAACUGAACCCAGUUCUGUCCUUCAAACUCAGCUCCAUAUAGUUCAAUCAAUAACAGCAGUGAGUGGCACAGCAUAGAGGACCAUCGAGAUGUUGACAGAGAAGAUCAGUCAAACCUAAAAAACGUAGCAAAAGAUGAAACUAGUACAGAAUUUGACAGUAAAAAAAAAGCACUGG